RNAcentral lists this ribosomal RNA (253 nucleotides) under uncultured bacterium. RNAcentral's name for it is "partial 16S ribosomal RNA". It matches the Rfam family "Bacterial small subunit ribosomal RNA", at positions 524 to 776 of the family's 1533-position model. The record is from RNAcentral.
UACGUAGGGUGCGAGCGUUGUCCGGAAUUAUUGGGCGUAAAGGGCCCGUAGGCGGUUUGUCGCGUCGGGAGUGAAAACACCGGGCUUAACUCGGUGCUUGCUUUCGAUACGGGCAGACUAGAGGCAUGCAGGGGAGAACGGAAUUCCUGGUGUAGCGGUGAAAUGCGCAGAUAUCAGGAGGAACACCGGUGGCGAAGGCGGUUCUCUGGGCAUGUCCUGACGCUGAGGAGCGAAAGUGUGGGGAGCGAACAGG